UACGAAGGGGGGCUAGCGUUGCUCGGAAUCACUGGGCGUAAAGCGCACGUAGGCGGAUCUUUAAGUCAGGGGGUGAAAUCCCAAGGCUCACCUUGGAACUGCCUUUGAUACUGGGGGAUCUCGAGUCCGGAAGAGGUUGGUGGAACUGCGAGUGUAGAGGUGAAAUUCGUAGAUAUUCGCAAGAACACCAGUGGCGAAGGCGGCCAACUGGUCCGGUACUGGACGCUGAGGUGCGAAAGCGUGGGGAGCAAACAGG
This 256-nucleotide ribosomal RNA is filed under the name uncultured bacterium. Its description in RNAcentral is "partial 16S ribosomal RNA". It matches the Rfam family "Bacterial small subunit ribosomal RNA", at positions 524 to 776 of the family's 1533-position model. The record is from RNAcentral.